ACACAGCUCCUACGCGGCAACGCACACAUAGAAGCAUCAAAAACAGGGCAUGGAAUUGGCCCAAAACGCCACACCCACAAGAUCACAUCAGCCUUCACUCCCCAUUUCAAACCGUGCACAAAGCCGGUGAGCGGAAUCCAGAGAACUUUUCCUUCCACGGGUCCAAACAGGAGAGUGAUGUGGGCUACUCAUAUCCGACAGAGCCAUAAAGUUUGAGUUCUUCUCCUCCAAGUUCUCCAGCACACUUGGAUGGUGCCCACGGCCUUGGGAACCUCUAAUCAUCUUUCUUCCUAACCUACUCGGGAAGCUGAGGCAGGAGAAUCGCUUGAACCCAGAGGCGGAGGCUGCAGUGAGCCGAGAUCACACCAUUGCACUCCAGCCUGGGCAACACAGGGAGACUCCAUCUCAAAAAAAAAAUACAGAAUUCAUCUGAUCCUGCCUUGCCUUGGAGCCAAUGCUAUUCCCUAUGCCAGGAAUUCCAACCACCCGCCUGAUGGCCCUGUGAGCAAUCCACCCUGGGGGACCAGCUCCUAUGACCUCCCUUUCAUGGAGGCCCUCCUGAUCCAACAGGUCACGCAGACACCCGUUCCUGCUGGGCUCCCCACUAGCCCCCAAGCCCCCUCUGGUAGGACCCACCUUGCCUGUCUCUGUCCCGGUGCUGACCACCGCUGAUUCCAUACCUCAGCACAGAGGUGGAGGCAUGUACAUGCACGCACGCACACACUCUCACACGCAGGCGCAUGCCAGGGCUAGCUCCCUCACGCCCACUCAUGCACACACACUCCUUCCGGAGAGCUCACUGACACGCACAGGCACACACACGCGCACACACACACGUGCACACACACACACCCUGGGGCUUGCUCAGCUUUGCUACGAAGGGCCCCUUGGGCUCAGGCCGCUGACCCUGCGGCUCCUGACACUCCCAGUCCAGGGUCCCCUUGGCCUCCCCCUGAGCCUGGCUGGACUUCGGCCUGAUCAGGGUCCCUCAGUGGAGCUGUGACCUUCUUUUCCUCCCUCUAGAAGCUCCUGAGAGACCAGCAAGGGUGUUGAGAUAAGGAUGGCGGA
Long non-coding RNA from Gorilla gorilla gorilla (western lowland gorilla), 1068 nucleotides. RefSeq lists it as uncharacterized. The transcript is spliced from 3 exons. Lineage: Eukaryota; Metazoa; Chordata; Mammalia; Primates; Hominidae. The record is from RefSeq and is a predicted model, not a curated record.